CAUCACUCCUCCUUAGGGAGGCAUUUCCACGCAGAUUCAACUUCCAUAGGCAUGGCUCUUCAGUACAGGGCUGCUCUUCUCUGCCAGCCCGGCGUUCUCAACUAUCAAGGGCCUCCGGUGAACCAGAGCCAUCAGCAGCCCUCAUUCAGGCCAAUCUGCCGUGACGGAGCCUCAGAGCCUCGCAUGGAGCUUUUUACACUCCCCUUUUCCUAAUGUUAUAUUGGCCCUCCCUGGUGGC
Long non-coding RNA from Condylura cristata (star-nosed mole), 238 nucleotides. RefSeq lists it as uncharacterized. The record is from RefSeq and is a predicted model, not a curated record. The transcript is spliced from 3 exons. Lineage: Eukaryota; Metazoa; Chordata; Mammalia; Eulipotyphla; Talpidae.